This is a long non-coding RNA of Electrophorus electricus (electric eel), 934 nucleotides long. RefSeq lists it as uncharacterized. Lineage: Eukaryota; Metazoa; Chordata; Actinopteri; Gymnotiformes; Gymnotidae. The record is from RefSeq and is a predicted model, not a curated record.
UUUGUUUAAUUCUUGCUCUUCAAGAAGUCAAAUAAAGUGAACCCUGUUGGCCUGGUAGCUGAUGACCACAAGCCCAGCCCCUCCUCUGGACAUCUUCAGGACUAUAAGUCUAUCAGGCAGAAUGCUCGUGUUUCAUAAGCAUUUUAUUAUGGUGACUGAUGCUGCAGUUCUGAUUAAUCUUAUCUUUUGCAGCUUCACACAUAGAACAAAAUGCUUUUACAUCCUCUAGAAAAAAAGGCCGUAAACUUCUGCCUCGAAAGUGUUCAGCGAUCUCCAAAACCAUGCGAGCCUCAUUCAGAUGCAUGGCUAAACCAUCAUAAACACUGGUUCAUUGAUAUUGAUGAAUAAAGGCUUUCUGUAGCUCAAUCCUGGAUUAGUAUUUAUUUAAUAAUAUGUGGAUUCUUCUUAGUUAGGGUGUCGUUGGGAGCGAAACACUUGAAACCUGAUAUUCCAUGUCCCUCAGAAAUUUCAAACUUUUUUUUUUUUUAGGUUUGAUUGUGUUUUAAAUGUUUUAAUAUACCAUCUAAAUAAUUCUGUGAUUAUUUGUAUUUGUCUAUGUGAUGUAAAUGCUUGAGACCAUAGGCUACAAAAUACAAGACUCAGGUCACUCCCACUGUCCUGCUUGGAAAUAGAGACCAAGAUAAAAGACAGCUCAGAAAGAUAAAACAUCAGCACAGAAAGAAUAUAUGGGAGAAUGACUCAUCACAGAACACCAGUGCUCAGUGGUUAGAAGAUCUCAAAGCAGAGCACCACAAUCUCCCAGAGCAGGAAAUGGUCAGCUUUACAAAAGCAGGUUUUGCCUCUGCCUCUCCGGUAUCCCUCAUCCCAAUCCACACCAGGUUUCCUGGUGAGCAGAGCACCAUAUAAAAGGAAGAGGAAGAGACAAGGGCUCAGCUUAGGAUUUGUUGGAGAAAUGAUUGUUGUUGAUAGUGUU